Molecule: small RNA, 16 nt
Filed under: Arabidopsis thaliana (thale cress)
Lineage: Eukaryota; Viridiplantae; Streptophyta; Magnoliopsida; Brassicales; Brassicaceae
Description: ATSL289690
Source: RNAcentral
AAAAAAAAAGCCAAAA